This 195-nucleotide ribosomal RNA is filed under the name Klebsiella oxytoca. RNAcentral describes it as "partial 23S ribosomal RNA". It matches the Rfam family "Bacterial large subunit ribosomal RNA", at positions 1 to 196 of the family's 2925-position model. RNAcentral also lists the same sequence under 1 other name. The record is from RNAcentral. Lineage: Bacteria; Pseudomonadati; Pseudomonadota; Gammaproteobacteria; Enterobacterales; Enterobacteriaceae.
GGUUAAGCGACUAAGCGUACACGGUGGAUGCCCUGGCAGUCAGAGGCGAUGAAGGACGUGCUAAUCUGCGAAAAGCGUCGGUAAGGUGAUAUGAACCGUUACAGCCGGCGAUGUCCGAAUGGGGAAACCCAGUGCAAUUCGUUGCACUAUCGUUAACUGAAUACAUAGGUUAACGAGGCGAACCGGGGGAACUGA